UACGUAGGGGGCGAGCGUUGUCCGGAUUUAUUGGGCGUAAAGAGCGUGUAGGCGGUUCGGCAAGUCUGUCGUGAAAUCCUGAGGCUCAACCUCGGGCGUGCGAUGGAUACUGCCGGGCUAGAGGGUGGUAGAGGCGAGUGGAAUUCCCGGUGUAGCGGUGAAAUGCGCAGAUAUCGGGAGGAACACCAGUAGCGAAGGCGGCUCGCUGGGCCACGCCUGACGCUGAGACGCGAAAGCUAGGGGAGCGAACAGG
RNAcentral lists this ribosomal RNA (253 nucleotides) under uncultured bacterium. RNAcentral's name for it is "partial 16S ribosomal RNA". It matches the Rfam family "Bacterial small subunit ribosomal RNA", at positions 524 to 776 of the family's 1533-position model. The record is from RNAcentral.